GAAGGAUCAUUAACGAGUUAGGGUCCUCCGGGGCCCGACCUCCCACCCUUUGUUGUCGCGAAUUCGUUGCCUCGGCGGGACGGCCGCCCCGGGUCCAAGCGACCCGGGCUGGCCACCGGGGACCCCUCGCGGGGAUCCCGGCCAGCGCCCGCCGCGGGACCACACACAACUCUUGUCUUUGACCGUACAGUCCGAGCAAAUUUGAAUUAAUAAAUCAAAACUUUCAACAACGGAUCUCUUGGUUCUGGCAUCGAUGAAGAACGCAGCGAAAUGCGAUAAGUAAUGUGAAUUGCAGAAUUCAGUGAAUCAUCGAAUCUUUGAACGCACAUUGCGCCCCUUGGUAUUCCGAGGGGCAUGCCUGUUCGAGCGUCAUUUCACCAAUCAAGCCCCGCUUGGUAUUAGGCGUCAGGCCCGCGCUUCGGCCGCGGGCCCGCCCGAAAUGCAUCGGCGAGGACAUCGACCCCCGGCGUGUUGAGAAUUCACGUUCGACGUCGGGAGCACCGGUGCGCCUCCGCCGCGGAAACCUUUCCGGAAAACACAAUUUUCAAAGGUUGACCUCGGAUCAGGUAGGAAUACCCGCUGAACUUAAGCAUAU
RNAcentral lists this ribosomal RNA (595 nucleotides) under Elsinoaceae sp. KNUC262. Its description in RNAcentral is "eukaryotic LSU rRNA". The stretch from base 219 to 372 matches the Rfam family "5.8S ribosomal RNA". Lineage: Eukaryota; Fungi; Ascomycota; Dothideomycetes; Myriangiales; Elsinoaceae. The record is from RNAcentral.